RNAcentral lists this ribosomal RNA (253 nucleotides) under uncultured bacterium. RNAcentral describes it as "partial 16S ribosomal RNA". It matches the Rfam family "Bacterial small subunit ribosomal RNA", at positions 524 to 776 of the family's 1533-position model. The record is from RNAcentral.
UACGGAGGGUGCAAGCGUUGUUCGGAAUUACUGGGCGUAAAGCGCGUGUAGGCGGUCGGGCAAGUCGGAUGUGAAAGCCUUCCGCUUAACGGAAGAAGUGCAUUCGAAACUACCCGGCUGGAGUACGGGAGAGGAGAGUGGAAUUCCCGGUGUAGAGGUGAAAUUCGUAGAUAUCGGGAGGAACACCAGUGGCGAAGGCGGCUCUCUGGUCCGAUACUGACGCUGAGACGCGAAAGCGUGGGGAGCAAACAGG